GAUGAACGCUGGCGGCGUGCCUAAUACAUGCAAGUCGAGCGAACAGACGAGGAGCUUGCUCCUCUGACGUUAGCGGCGGACGGGUGAGUAACACGUGGAUAACCUACCUAUAAGACUGGGAUAACUUCGGGAAACCGGAGCUAAUACCGGAUAAUAUAUUGAACCGCACGGUUCAAUAGUGAAAGACGGUUUUGCUGUCACUUAUAGAUGGAUCCGCGCCGCAUUAGCUAGUUGGUAAGGUAACGGCUUACCAAGGCAACGAUGCGUAGCCGACCUGAGAGGGUGAUCGGCCACACUGGAACUGAGACACGGUCCAGACUCCUACGGGAGGCAGCAGUAGGGAAUCUUCCGCAAAGGGCGAAAGCUUGACGGAGCAACGCCGCGUGAGUGAUGAAGGUCUUCGGAUCGUAAAACUCUGUUAUUAGGGAAGAACAAAUGUGUAAGUAACUAUGCACGUCUUGACGGUACCUAAUCAGAAAGCCACGGCUAACUACGUG
This 497-nucleotide ribosomal RNA is filed under the name uncultured bacterium. Its description in RNAcentral is "partial 16S ribosomal RNA". It matches the Rfam family "Bacterial small subunit ribosomal RNA", at positions 28 to 507 of the family's 1533-position model. The record is from RNAcentral.